GGGGGAUAUUGCACAAUGGGGGAAACCCUGAUGCAGCGACGCCGCGUGGAGGAAGAAGGUUUUCGGAUUGUAAACUCCUGUCGUUAGGGACGAUAAUGACGGUACCUAACAAGAAAGCACCGGCUAACUACGUGCCAGCAGCCGCGGUAAAACGUAGGGUGCAAGCGUUGUCCGGAAUUACUGGGUGUAAAGGGAGCGCAGGCGGACCGGCAAGUUGGAAGUGAAAACUAUGGGCUCAACCCAUAAAUUGCUUUCAAAACUGCUGGCCUUGAGUAGUGCAGAGGUAGGUGGAAUUCCCGGUGUAGCGGUGGAAUGCGUAGAUAUCGGGAGGAACACCAGUGGCGAAGGCGACCUACUGGGCACCAACUGACGCUGAGGCUCGAAAGCAUGGGUAGCAAACAGGAUUAGAUACCCUGGUAGUCCAUGCCGUAAACGAUGAUUACUAGGUGUUGGAGGAUUGACCCCUUCAGUGCCGCAGUUAACACAAUAAGUAAUCCACCUGGGGAGUACGACCGCAAGGUUGAAACUCAAAGGAAUUGACGGGGGCCCGCACAAGCAGUGGAGUAUGUGGUUUAAUUCGACGCAACGCGAAGAACCUUACCAAGUCUUGACAUCCCUUGACGAUGCUGGAAACAGUAUUUCUCUUCGGAGCAAGGAGACAGGUGGUGCAUGGUUGUCGUCAGCUCGUGUCGUGAGAUGUUGGGUUAAGUCCCGCAACGAGCGCAACCCUUAUGGUCAGUUACUACGCAAGAGGACUCUGGCCAGACUGCCGUUGACAAAACGGAGGAAGGUGGGGAUGACGUCAAAUCAUCAUGCCCUUUAUGACUUGGGCUACACACGUACUACAAUGGCGUUAAACAAAGAGAAGCAAGACCGCGAGGUGGAGCAAAACUCAGAAACAACGUCCCAGUUCGGACUGCAGGCUGCAACUCGCCUGCACGAAGUCGGAAUUGCUAGUAAUCGUGGAUCAGCAUGCCACGGUGAAUACGUUCCCG
Molecule: ribosomal RNA, 995 nt
Filed under: uncultured bacterium
Lineage: Bacteria
Description: bacterial SSU rRNA
Rfam family: Bacterial small subunit ribosomal RNA
Source: RNAcentral